Molecule: ribosomal RNA, 253 nt
Filed under: uncultured bacterium
Lineage: Bacteria
Description: partial 16S ribosomal RNA
Rfam family: Bacterial small subunit ribosomal RNA
Source: RNAcentral
GACAGAGGCCUCGAGCGUUAGGCGGAAUCACUGGGCUUAAAGCGUGUGUAGGCGGACCUCUAAGUACCUUGUGAAAUCCCACGGCUCACCCGUGGAACCGCUGGGUAUACUGGGGGUCUUGGGCCAUUCAGGGGCGACUGGAACAAGCGGUGGAGCGGUGAAAUGCGUAGAUAUCGCUUGGAACGCCGACGGUGAAAACAGUCUGCUGGGGGUGUGCUGACGCUGAGACACGAAAGCCAGGGGAGCGAACGGG